CAUCGUUUUAAUAACCUACAACCUCUCUCUCAGUGUCCGUACAUCUUCAAGUGCCCUUUUUCCCUCUCCGUUCAUUUUCUCCUCCCAUGUCUAAUUCGCUACGACGAUUAGUCGAUGCCAAUUAACAUAGAAAGAAAAAUAUCACUAUCACCAUCUUCUUCUUUUCCUUUCCGAUUAAGCCCUAGCCAGAAUUGCCCACCAACAUAAUUUUACAAUUGGGAUUAAAGGUUAGAAGCUAUCUAUUUGUUUAUAUGAUCUCUUCUAUUUAUUGGUUGCCUUGAAAUUGAAAGAGAAGGAAUUUGUAAACAUUGAUUAUUUGUCGAUAUGGUCGACGUCCCAUAGAAGAUCUCCUUGGACAGUAGAGCAUAGAGGUUUUUAGUCCUUCAGCAAAAUGCAUUUUCCGGAGAUUGAACUUGUGUUCUCAUCCAUAUGAACGGAGAUUGAGGUCGCUUACCACCUCAACCAACAGCUUGCCGGUAAUAAUAACAUUUUUUUGCAUAAUUAGUAUUAUUAAUAUUAUUAAGUUAGACUUAUAAAAGGUAGUUAACAUUUAUCGGAAGCCUAGCCUUUAAUUUCAUCUCGAACUUUUCAAAUAAUUGUAAUUUUACGUUAAAUCAACCUUUGUAUCCUGAGUACCCUGAACUUAUCAACCUCGUUGCAAUUACACUCUAAUUUGACUUCAUAGCCAAUUCAUUAUUUUUGCAUUUUAAAAUUGAUUCAAUUUUAAAAUCAAAUAUUCAAUUUUUAUUUUUUUUUAUUUAUUAUAGGAAUACUUGGGUUUGAUUUUGCUAGUAUUGUUUAAAUACUAGGGUAUGGAGUCCAUUUAUUUAUUUUUAAUUAAAAUUUCGACCAUAGUUUAUUUUUAGAGUGCAAUUGCAACGAAUUGAUAAGUUCAGGUUGUCGUAAUUCACUUUUAGUUGCAAUUACACCUUAAUCUUUUAAGGUGUAAUUGUAACUAGAUUGAUAAGUUCAGGGUUUUUAGGGUACAAAAAUUGAUUUAGAGUGAAAUUGUAACUAUUCGGAAAGUUCAGGGUGAAAUUAAAGGUUAGGCCUUUAUUAGAAGAUUUAAAUCACUGAAAUUAAGAAUUUAAUUUCAUUUUGAAUUCCACUUUCCAUCUAAAGAAGGUAAUAUUCAAAUUUUGAAUAUUGAUUUUCCUUAAAACAUUAAUAUAUGUUCACUUAAUUUUAAUUCUUAUUGAAGCUCAAUUAUAUAAGGCAAUUAACGUUUGCUUCCAUUGAGAUAAGAUAAAGCUCAAUUUUAUAUGGCAACUAACGUUAGCUUCAAUUGAAAUAAGGUAAAACUCAAUUAUAUAAGGCAGCUAACGUUUGCUUCCAUUGAAAUAAGGUAAAGCUCAAUUAUAUAAGGCAACUAACAUUUAAAUGGAAGGAAACGUUAACUGCCUUGUAUAAUUGAGCUUUACUUCUUUAAAUGGAAGCAAACUUUAGUUGCUUUAUAUAAUUGAAUUUUACCUUCUUUAAAUAGAAGCAAACUUUAGUUGCCUUAUAUAAUUGAACUUUACAUUCUUUAAAUGGAAGCAAACGUUAGUUAUCUUAUAUAAUUGAGCUUUAAUAGGAAUUAAAACUGAGUCAAUAAAUAUUAAUGAUUUUAAAAGGAAAUCAAUGUUCAAAAUUUGAAUGUUACCUUUUUUAGAUGGAGAGUGAAAUUCAAAACGAAAU
Long non-coding RNA from Jatropha curcas, 1677 nucleotides. RefSeq lists it as uncharacterized. The record is from RefSeq and is a predicted model, not a curated record. NCBI's taxonomy places the organism in Eukaryota, Viridiplantae, Streptophyta, Magnoliopsida, Malpighiales, Euphorbiaceae.